CCAAGGCGCCUAGUCCUGAUGGCUUCCCGGCGUUGUUUUACCAACGCCAUUGGGAUUUUUUACAGGCUGAUAUCUGCACAGCUGUUAGGGAUUUUCUACAAGAUAUGAUGAAGGCUUAUGACCGGGUCGAAUGGAAAUAUCUUCAGGGAGUUUUAAGUAAGAUGGGUUUUGCUGAUGGAUGGAUCCAAACUGUAAUGAAAUGUGUGACAAAGGUGCGAUAUGCCAUACGAGUUAAUGGUGAACUCUCAGAGCAUUUUAUUCCAACAAGGGGAUUGAGGCAAGGAGAUCCCAUCAGUCCAUACCUUUUUCUCUUAUGUGCGGAAGGCCUAUCUUGCUUAAUGAAAAAAAAGAAGCUGAAGGUAAAAUAAACGGUGUAAAAAAUGGGAGAACUGGACCAGCAAUAUCUCACCUCCUUUUUGCAGACGAUAGUAUUUUUUCAUUAGAGGUGAUAUGAAGGACCUUCAAGCUCUUAAUGAGGUGUUGCACUUGUACAGUGAAGGAACAGGCCAACGGAUUAAUUUUCAGAAAUCAUCACUUUUCUUUGGUGACAAAUGUCCGGAACAAGUUAAGGAUAGAGUUAAAUCAUAUAUCAAUGUCCGUAAUGUAGUUGUGCAAGCAAAUUAUUUGGGCAUGCCGUCUUGGGUGGGGAGAUCUCCUACAAGCACUUUCAAUUUCUUACCUGAACGUAUGUGGAGGAAAAUAAGAGGCUGGAAUGAUCGCCCCCUUUCAAGGGCUGGUAAGGAGGUUAUGUUUAAAUCAGUCAUUCAAGCAAUCCCAAUAUAUGUUAGGAGCUGUUUCCGCCUGCCAGCUGCAAUUUGUGAUAAGAUGAGGACAACAAUCUCGAAUCAUUGGUGGGGCAUUGAAGAGGGUAAGAAAAAGAUGCACUGGCGUUCAUGGGAAUGGCUGACCGCCCCUAAAGCCAUGGGUGGCAUGGGGUUUUGAGAUAUGCAAAUUUUUAAUCAAGCUAUGUUGGGCAAACAAGCUUGGAGAAUUCUAACUGUUCCUAAUUCGCUUUGUGCGAGAGUGCUCA
Molecule: long non-coding RNA, 1030 nt
Organism: Panicum virgatum (switchgrass)
Lineage: Eukaryota; Viridiplantae; Streptophyta; Magnoliopsida; Poales; Poaceae
Exons: 3
Source: RefSeq, a predicted model, not a curated record